RNAcentral lists this ribosomal RNA (375 nucleotides) under uncultured organism. Its description in RNAcentral is "partial 16S ribosomal RNA". It matches the Rfam family "Bacterial small subunit ribosomal RNA", at positions 527 to 896 of the family's 1533-position model. The record is from RNAcentral.
GUAGGUGGCAAGCGUUGUCCGGAAUUAUUGGGCGUAAAGCGCGCGCAGGUGGUUCUUUAAGUCUGAUGUGAAAGCCCCCCGGCUCAACCGGGGAGGGUCACUGGAAACUGGGGAACUUGAGUGCAGGAGAGGAAAGUGGAAUUCCACGUGUAGCGGUGAAAUGCGUAGAUAUGUGGAGGAACACCAGUGGCGAAGGCGACUUUCUGGCCUGUAACUGACACUGAGGCGCGAAAGCGUGGGGAGCAAACAGGGAUUAGAUACCCUGGUAGUCCACGCCGUAAACGAUGAGUGCUAAGUGUUGGGGGGGUUUCCCGCCCCGUCAGUGCUGCAGCUAACGCAUUAAGCACUCCGCCUGGGGAUACGGUCGCAAGACUG